ACACGACUACAUUAGAUACCCGGGUAGUCCUAGCCGUAAACGAUACUCGCUAGGUGUCGGCCACGGUGCGACCGUUGUCGGUGCCGUAGGGAAGCCGUGAAGUGAGCCACCUGGAAGUACGGCCGCAAGGCUGAAACUUAAAGGAAUUGGCGGGGGAGCACAACAACGGGUGGAGCUUGCGGUUUAAUUGGAUUCAACGCCGGAAAUCUUACCGGGACCGACAGCAACAUGAAGGCCAAGCUGAAGACUUUGCCGGAUUAGCUG
This 264-nucleotide ribosomal RNA is filed under the name uncultured archaeon. Its description in RNAcentral is "partial 16S ribosomal RNA". It matches the Rfam family "Archaeal small subunit ribosomal RNA", at positions 717 to 982 of the family's 1478-position model. The record is from RNAcentral.